Molecule: long non-coding RNA, 539 nt
Organism: Drosophila erecta
Lineage: Eukaryota; Metazoa; Arthropoda; Insecta; Diptera; Drosophilidae
Exons: 2
Source: RefSeq, a predicted model, not a curated record
UUGAUUAAGCAUCCGUAGUCUCUCGACUUUCAUCACUCAAUAUGCACGCAUCGCGGCUGCUUUUCCUUGUAAUCAGUUUUGCGAUUUUCCUGCAACGGAUGGCGGGACAAGACACACAACCUAUAAGCAUGGAGUUCCAGAAUUUUAAUUUUAUUGCAUUGGGAAACUCUGCCAGCAAUGUGAGAUGGGGAAUGAAGGUCCGUUCAACAAGUACUCCUCGUGGAACUACUCCGAAACCCGAAAUCAAUCCGAUGAAUGAAACAAUCAUAGUGUAGUCGGAACUAUACAGAUACAGGAACCUAAAAGUCUGCAAGUCCUGCCCGCACAUUGUAACAUUUCCAGAAACCAAGGCAGAUAGAAUGUAGUCCCUGAUCCGCCUCGAAGGACCAAAGCGGCUGGCGCCGCCUUUGUGGAAGCUCUAGCCGAGAUCAGAGGAGCAUCUUUAAGGGAGUGCAGAAAGAAGUGGCCUCACGAGGCACCAAGAUUUAUACACCAAUUUGCCAAGUUGUAUUGUAAAACUAAUAAAUUGUCGCCGCUAA